GUGCGCGCCCCCGCGGCGCGCGUCACGCAUCAGACCUCUAAUCGGAAAAGACUACCCGCUGAGUUUAA
RNAcentral lists this ribosomal RNA (68 nucleotides) under Pseudoscleropodium purum. RNAcentral describes it as "partial 26S ribosomal RNA". Lineage: Eukaryota; Viridiplantae; Streptophyta; Bryopsida; Hypnales; Brachytheciaceae. The record is from RNAcentral.